This 492-nucleotide ribosomal RNA is filed under the name uncultured bacterium. Its description in RNAcentral is "partial 16S ribosomal RNA". It matches the Rfam family "Bacterial small subunit ribosomal RNA", at positions 29 to 507 of the family's 1533-position model. The record is from RNAcentral.
AGUGAACGCUGGCGGUAGGCCUAACACAUGCAAGUCGAACGGCAGCACAGUAAGAGCUUGCUCUUACGGGUGGCGAGUGGCGGACGGGUGAGGAAUACAUCGGAAUCUACUUUUUCGUGGGGGAUAACGUAGGGAAACUUACGCUAAUACCGCAUACGACCUACGGGUGAAAGCAGGGGAGCUUCGGACCUUGCGCGAUUGAAUGAGACGAUGUCGGAUUAGCUAGUUGGCGGGGUAAAGGCCCACCAAGGCGACGAUCCGUAGCUGGUCUGAGAGGAUGAUCAGCCACACUGGAACUGAGACACUGUCCAGACUCCUACGGGAGGCAGCAGUGGGGAAUAUUGGACAAUGGGCGCAAGCCUGAUCCAGCCAUACCGCGUGGGUGAAGAAGGCCUUCGGGUUGUAAAGCCCUUUUGUUGGGAAAGAAAAGCAGCAGGUUAAUACCCCGCUGUUCUGACGGUACCCAAAGAAUAAGCACCGGCUAACUUCGUG